UCUCUUAGUCUCUCUCU
This 17-nucleotide small RNA is filed under the name Arabidopsis thaliana (thale cress). RNAcentral describes it as "ATSL137780". The record is from RNAcentral. Lineage: Eukaryota; Viridiplantae; Streptophyta; Magnoliopsida; Brassicales; Brassicaceae.